CGCGACCUCGCGGACAGAAGAAGAAGAGAGAGAGAAAAAAAGAUUCCCCCGACUUCGCUCUCCGGAAUCCUCCGCCCGCCGCCGCCGCAGUUUAUGGAUUUCGGAAGGAACGCUGCAGCCCGGACUUGUGAAGCGAAGAGCAGCGUCUCCCCCCGCCCCUCCGGUCUGCCCUUCUCACCGGCCCCCUCCACGCCGUGGUUCCGUGAGCUGUGGGUCAACGCCCCCAAAUAACACCCUUUUGCAGAGGUACGUACGUGCGCCUACCGGUCUAUCUGAAUAGUGAGUAUAUAGACCAUGGGGAAAGCUUUAAGCUGUGGGCGGCUGGAGCUUGCGUGGUGGAUUGCCUGUGCUAUCAAUCUGUGCAAAUUUCUAUUGGAUCGCUGUUAAACUUGCGAGGGCUUGGUAUUUGGGGGAAGGCAAAGAGGGUUGGACUGCCGCAAAAGUGGAUUCGGUAAAAAUAAGUGCACAGUAGCUUCUUAUUUGUCUCGGGCGCUACUCGUAGUGAAUAUUGUGAAAGAGGAUAGCUCUAAAUUGAUGAAGAACGACUUGGAAGGUGUCAUAAAGAGUACGGGUCCAUUCACGAAUCAUUGUUUCAUUUAUGACUUGAUGAUUGUUUCCAGCAAUUGUUAAUCAAUAAAGUGGUGGAAACAAUCAUUAGUAGCAACUGUGACAAAGAAAAUAACCUCAAGACUAAUUUUAAACAGGACACUGGUUUGUAUUGUGCAGUGUGACAGUUUGUGCCUUAAACAGUUACUACAAGCAAACGUGCAUAAUCAUAGGUCUAUUUGGAACUUAUAAAAUCACAGGGCUUACUGUCAGACAUUCAAGUCAAAGGUCAUAGGUCUACUAAUGGAAAGACUCAUUGUGAAAGAGGAUAGCUCUAAAUUGAUGAAGAACGACUUGGAAGGCAUCAUAAAGAGUACAGGUCCAUUCACGAAUCAUUUUUUCAUUUAUGACUUGAUGAUUGUUUCCAGCAAUUGUUAAUCAAUAAAGUGGUGGAAACAAUCAUUAGUAACAACUGUGACAAAGAAAAUAACCUCAAGGCUUAUUUUAAACAGGACACUGGUUUGUAAUUGUGCAGUUUGACAAUUUGUGCCUUAAACAGUUAGUACAAGCAAACGUGCAUAAUCAUAGGUCUAUUUGGAACUUAUAAAAUCACAGGGCUUACUGUCAGACAUUCAAGUCAAAGGUCCAAUUAUUUGCCUUAAAAA
Molecule: long non-coding RNA, 1211 nt
Filed under: Triticum aestivum (bread wheat)
Lineage: Eukaryota; Viridiplantae; Streptophyta; Magnoliopsida; Poales; Poaceae
Description: long non-coding RNA (TAES_LNC024296)
Source: RNAcentral